UACGUAGGGACCAAGCGUUGUCCGGAAUCAUUGGGCGUAAAGAGCGUGUAGGCGGCUUGUUAAGUCUUGCGUGAAAUCUCGGGGCUCAACCCCGAGCGGUCGUGAGAAACUGGCAGGCUAGAGUGCGGGAGGGGAGAGUGGAAUUCCUGGUGUAACGGUGAAAUGCGCAGAUAUCAGGAGGAACACCGGUGGCGAAGGCGGAUCUCUGGGCCGACACUGACGCCGAGGAGCGAAAGCGUGGGGAGCGAACAGG
RNAcentral lists this ribosomal RNA (253 nucleotides) under uncultured bacterium. RNAcentral's name for it is "partial 16S ribosomal RNA". It matches the Rfam family "Bacterial small subunit ribosomal RNA", at positions 524 to 776 of the family's 1533-position model. The record is from RNAcentral.